ACACUCACUUCAGCAGCACCUAUACUAAAAUUGGAAUGAUACAGGGAAGAUUUGCAUGGCCUUGCAAGGAUGACAUGCAAAUUUGUGACAUGUUCCAUACUAGA
Molecule: small nuclear RNA, 104 nt
Filed under: Prolemur simus (greater bamboo lemur)
Lineage: Eukaryota; Metazoa; Chordata; Mammalia; Primates; Lemuridae
Source: RNAcentral